UUGCAUGGGAGGCGUGAGCGUCCGUCCGCAGUCGGGACGGCACAGUUCCCUUUCCUGGGGUUCACUGGGUGUGGGGCCACUGGCUUUCUUGUGUGCUCGUUCCUCAGAACUAAGCCACUUUCUCAAGGUUCGGGAGCUGCAAUAUCACUCUUGCAGUCUGUGCGGGGUAGUGAGCUGGAGUGUUCAAGGUGGGGGGCAUUCUAAACCGGCCUUCUCCUCACUAGUGCUUUAAAACUCUGGGGGGGAGAGCAUUCAUCCACGGUCCCCGUGUGUGCGACAGGGCGCCAAUGUCACCUUUCCAAACUGUGUGUGUUCCUUGGGGUAAAUAUGAAGAAUUUCGGGGUUCUUUUGUGUUUUUUUUGUUUUUGUUCUGCUCUAGACAGUCUUAGUAUCCAGUCCUUUGGGAAGAACCAUCUUAGCCAUGGUUUAGUGACAGAGGGACAUCAGGGGCACUCAGAGGCCCCAGGAAUGGGGAGAAACAUUUCAGUGGCACCAAGUACCCAUUUUGGAUGGGUUCUGUCCUGUGAUCCUCUUUAUUGAAGCUGGGGGCUCCGGUUCUUGCCUUUGCCUGGGUGACCACCCUUGAUGAAGGGCAUACAGGGAACCUACUUACUCCAUCAUGUCACCUUAGUGACAUUGUAGGAAACGGAUCUAGAACAGUGAUGAGGAGCUCAGCCUGUUUAGGUUUGAGAGGUAUUCUGUGUAAGUUCAGGACUUCGUGGUGAGAGCCGGAUUCAGUCCAGUCUCUCGCCCUGGCCUCUGCGUGCCCUUGUGUCAGUUGCACAUGUUUGGGGAGGGGGAUGAAUAAGGACAUGGAGAGUGUAACCCUGAGAGACAGUGAGUAGCCCAGCCUAGGACUGAGAAGAUGGGGGAGGGGGGCAUUUAACGAACACCCCCACUGUGGUUUCUGUGAAGAAGAGAAAAGGAGAUGAUGAAAAUCAUGUAUUUGAAGUACGUAGAUGGAGACAUGCUAUUACUAUGCUAAAGAUACCAUCAUUUGUCUGAUUAGCAAUAGAAGAAACUCUGAUUUUAAAGAGCACAACAGUUUAUAAGCUCAGUCAGGAAAAGACAAAACAGCCUCAGAAGACUCUUCUUUGAGGUAAAACGGAGUUGGCUCACUGCAUCACAUUAUAAUCAGGCACAACAGGCUCUGCGCCUCACAGAGCUCUGAAAUUUGUUUUAGCUCCAGAAAAAGAAAGGAAAAAGAAAAAAGUAAAGCUUUCGGUCGCAGGAAAGCAGUACAAGAAAGCUCGAGCACAGUUACAGUUGGUGCGCUUCCUGAUGAAAAAGAUGAAUUAUUAUGAAAAAAGAAAUUCACGCAGGGUCUCGUAUACCCCGAGUUGACCUCCUAGUGAACGAAGGUUUUGGUCACUAAUCUUCGGCUGCGACAGUCUCUUGCACACAGCAUGUUGUGGCUGAACAGACAUGCCACCUGUGGUUCACACUUCCGGGCUCUUUGGCCUCCUCCUUGCCAGGCCUUGAUCUGUUCCUUCCCUCCUUCUUUCCAGAAACAUUCCCUGAAUCCUUCCUGUGUGUUUUUGCACAUCACCUUAUUUAAUCCUGCCGGCUUCACGAAGCAGGUACUGUCGUCAUCGUCACCCCGAUCUUGCAGAUGAGGACGUACACUGGGAGAGUCUCAGCGGCUCAUCCUAAGAUCAGACCCAGAAUGUAAGCUUGGUGUGUGCCUGGUUCUCAGCCGCGUUCCUGUCCUGCCUCCUCAUGAGUCACAGGGAGGGGAUAGAACACGUCCAGGGAAACCACAGUAACCUGUUCAUGUAGAAGAGAAAUCAUUCAACAUGUAUAUGGAUAAUCUGUAUAGAUAACUAGCUUUUACGGUGAUAAUUAAUGAAGACUUGCAAGACCCCAGAAUAUUCUUAAAAUUGUCAAGAAAAGUUAAAAUAUUACGUAGUUUAGUAUUAUGCAUAUUCAUUAAUUCUUUGGAGUUUUAUUUAUUAAAGCCUACCACAUUGUAAAGGCCUGUAAAUUUUAGGCAUAAUAAGAUACGAGAUAACAUACCAAAAUCUCAGAGCAAAGGGAAAAUGAUGGUUUUGAAGAAAUGAAGAAGCACUAGAGCCUAGGGAAUCAGUCUUUAGAUGUGAGCCAUAAAUUAGAACCUGGCUUCCUAGUAGCCAGAGCAAAAGGGACAUGAUUCAGAUUGUAGAAUAAAACCACACCAGGGCGCCUUCCAUGCUGUUCCUCUGCUCUCACCCACAGGCAAGUUUGCCAGAGAAUUCUCUUAACUACCCUGACUUUUCGUCCUGACCUCCCAUUCACUCUCCCCCACCCAUUCUUAGGUUUUUUCCUUUCUUAUAUUUUCUGUUCAUCAAAAUAAUACAUCCUUGCAUAUUGAGUUAUUCAUUGAAAUUGCAUUGAACUAAAAUAAAUUUGGUGAGAAUUGACACCUAAACAAUACUGUCUUCUUUUGGUUGGUAUUUACGUGGUAUUACAUUUUCAACCCUUUUAUUUUCAACUUCUCUGUAUCAGAGUUGUUUCUUGUAAACAGCAUGUAGUUGGGUUUUUUCUUUAAUCUAGUUUGACAAUCUCUGCCUUUUAGCUGUUGUGUUUGGCCCAUUUAUAUUUAAUACAAUUACUGAUCUAUUUAUAUUGAAGCCUCUCUAUAUGUCCUUCCUAUUUUAUUUUCUUUUUCUCUCUUUCUUUCUUUCUUUUAGAUUAAUUAUUUUGUAUAAUUCAGUUUUUAUCUUUUUCUAGUUUAAAUGUUCUUUAUUCUUUCUUCUGUUCUGUUAAUACUGGGAAGAUUACAACAUGCAUCAUUAACUAAGGAAAGUCUGAUGUUUCUCAAACCUUUACCCCCUUCCCAGGACCAUUUAGUGGCCCCCAACUUACAUGCUGUUGUUGUUACACACUUUAAUUCCAUUUUCAAACCCCAUAAUGUCAGUGUUCAUUUAGAUCUAUCCACAUAUUUACUACUUUCCCUGCCCUUCACUCCUUGUAUCUCUGUUUGUCCAGCUGGGAUCAUCCUCCUUCUGCCUGAAAUCUUUAGAAUUUCCUUUAAAGUGGGGCUGUUGGUGAGGAAGUAGAUGAGUUUGUUUGAAAAUGUAUGCCUGAGGGGCACCUGGGUGGCUCAGUCGUGAGCCUUCGGCUUAGGUCAUGAUCCCGGGGUCCUGGGAUCGAGCCCUGCAUUGGGCUCCCUGCUCUGCGGGAAGCCUGCUUCUCCCUCUCCCACUCCCCCUGCUUGUGUUUCCUCUCUCGCUGUGUCUCUCUCUGUCAAAUAAAUAAAUAAAAUCUAAAAAAAAAAAGAAAAUGUAUGCCUGAUACCACCAUUUUAUUGGGAGAGCUGCAGGACCUCUACAUUUUAACGUGUAUACUUUCACUUCAUUACAUUAUUUCCGGCAUGGUAUCUGUUAUCCUCCCAUGCCAGAGUAUCUCUGUUUUAUCCUGUCAUUGAUUAAUGAAUCUUCCAGUCUUCUGUUGAGGUAAAGAAAGGGGAUCUAGGGAUACACCUACGUUUUAACUUUGCAAACAGGCCUUCUUUUUUACCUCCCAUUGAAGAGGUACAUGUGGGCACCAACAUCUGAGCUUUGGGGGGUUCUGCAGGGCAGAAUGUUUCUCUCAUUGCCAGUUUAGGGGCAACUUUCUUGGGUUUGCUAAAUUACACAACCGUAAGCCAUGGCCCUGUUACUUCUUUUCUGUCUGCCUUUUAGCGUCUGAAAUUUUUUUUGUGGUUGAAGGUUUGUGUCUUUAAAAAAUCCAGUAGGUCUUCAAAAGGGCAUGUAGGUAGGUGAAGGGGCUCAUAAGCUUCAUCAUUUGCUUACUGUCGCCAGUCAUCACCGUGUUGCCAGAAUCAGUGGUACUUUGUUGUUCUCGUCGUGUUAAAACUCAGUUCUAAAGAAUUAAUCACUUCCUCCUUAACAUAACUGCUUCUUUCUUGGCUUUCAUGAUAGUACCUUCUAUAGGUUUUCUUCAGGUCUUUCUGGAUCCUUCCUCUCUGAGUCCUUUGUUGCCUCCUCUUCUGCACAGCUCUUAAAUGUCGGAGCACUCCUGGACAUUGUGGAGCUCAGGAGUGCUCGCCUCACUCUGCAUCUUCUCCCUAAGGAAUCCCACCCAUUUAUUCUUUAAGUUCAUUCCGUGUUUGUUGAAUACCUUUUAUGUGCCAGACACUCUCUGGGCCCACAGAAUGACAGGGAAUCCUGUAAGAAGGCUAUGGCAGUCGUCCAGGCAAGAGGUGAUAGUGGCUUGGACCAGUCUGUUACCGUGGAGAUGGUGACAUGGACUUGUAUUGUGGGUAUCUCAUGGCUUUAAAGAUCUCUUUUCCUGUGGCUCCCAAAUUCAGUCUCUAGACAAAGCUCUCUUCUGCUUCUCAGACAAGUUUCUAACACCCUGUGUUAACAUUUGCUUGUAUGUCUUACCGACGCUCCAAACCUAGCAUGUCUAAAGCUGAACUAUUACUAUCCCCGUAAAACCAUCCCCUCUCUUUCUCAGUGCUUGGGGGAAUAUCUCCAUCCAUCCAGUUGCUCAGGUCAGAAAUCUGGUAGCCAUGCGUGAUGCUGUUUCUUUUUAUUCUCCUGCCUCUAAGGUGUCACCACAUCUUACUGAUUCUCUCUCUGGAACAUGUCCCAGGUCCAUCCACUUUCAUCCAUCUCCUUCCCACCACCCCGUGCAUACUCUCGUCACCCUGGCCUGGGUCAGCCGUAGCUUCCCAAUUCCUAUUCCCCUCCUUCCCUUGGGGUGUUCAGCAGAUAAGGAUUCCCCAUCCAUUCAGUGCGAUCUUUUAAAACCAGAACAGGAUCCUUCCUCUCUGUCUCUCUUGACUCUCCCUGCCCCCCACACCAUCUCUCACAAAUAUGCCCCAUUUACAGAAUCUCCAGGACUGCCCAUUGUGCGUAGAGUAACCCAGAGUCUCCAGCAUAUCCUGAAAGGCCCCGUAUGACCCUGCCCCUGCCUGCCUCCCAUUUUUAUCCAGAGCUGUUCCUUCCCUUCUGCAGCAUCCCCUAGACACACUUUCCUUUUUUGUUUCUCAGAUGAACCUAAUUGUCACCUCAGGCAGUCACCCACACUGACCUCUCACCUGAACUACCCUCCCCUGGUCCGGUCCUCCUCGUGCUGCCUGCCCAGCUCCCUCGGUCCCGUCCUCAGCCAAGUGUCCCUGGAGCCCGGGGAGGUCAGGUCACCCCUCCUAGAACCUGCUUUGUCAGCUUAUCACAGUCUGUCGUUAAAUAUUUGUGCAUUUACAUCUCGGUUACCCUGGGCCAAGUUCUCUGAGGGCAGGGACCAUUUUUGUUUUUCACCUCGGUAUAAUAUGCCACCAUCUGGCACAUAGUAAACAUCUAAUAAAUGCUUCCUGGGGGGUAGAUAAAUGAGUAAAACAGUGAACAGAUAGCAGCCCAGGGAGGGUGUGUGUGGUUUAUUGGUGGGAGUAGGGGUGGUUUGAAGCCCAAGAGAAAUCUCUCCCAUGGGUUCUGUGGUUCUUUUGUGAAUUAAGUAAGCUCGGUUCAGCAGUGAUAUUAUUCCAGAUUUGUUCGGUUUCACCCCUUCUUCUAAUUAACACCAGCCAAGUUUUAAUUGAACUUUGAUUUCAGUAUUUUGUGUCAAAAAGCAAUGUAUCUUUUGGAGUAUGCUUAGACCAGGAAUCAUGCUGAUGUUAACUGUCAGUUAAUAAAAAUCCCCCCACACUCCGAUCACUCUGGGUCAGCUGGUCAUGCCCACGUACUAUGUAAGCAUCCUCCUUGGGGUCGGGAUGAGGGCAUGUGACACCUGUGGGGGACAGGCCUCGUUCCCCAGGGGAAGUCUGCGGUUGGGACCCUGUGAGACGUCUCCUCCACUUUCUUGGCCACCCUUGGGGAUUAGGCACUUCAGGCUGGCUGUCCUGUCAGAGCAAACUAGGGCUGACCCCCACCCCCACAGGCUAGGAACCUAGGACCGAGGCUCCAUUUCUUAGAGGUCGAUUCUGGAGGCCAGCGGGGAUUUCCAGGUUCGGGGAAAAGACAACAUGUCGAAAGGGUGCUUAGCGGGGAAGGACUGCCCCCCACUCACUGCUGCUGCGCCAGGGGGCACAAGCCCAGCCGGGGUCCAGCUGUUCACUCGCCCGCUCGCUUGUGGGUCACCCACGGUAAUGACACGGUGGCAGAUGCCGUCGGAAAAUCCCAGCUCUUCUGCCACAGAGUCAAUUUCUUAUUUGUCCGUUCAUUGUGGCAAGUGGGAUUUUGUGUUGUUGUUUCCAAAUAGAAACCACUGAGCUUUAUUUGAAAUGUUUUUCUUUCAUUCUUUUUUGAUCUGUGUUUUCAUCAUUUGUCCUUGAUGUGGGUUUUUUUGUUUUGUUUUGUUUUUAUUGGAGGGGGAGGGGACAGGCACAGAAUGAGAGUCCAAACAGGAUUUUUUUUUAAUCUGUUCUUUUCUUUCUUCCCCUCCUUUCUCUCUUUUCCUUUUUAUUUUUUUAUGUUUUUUAUUUUCAGCAUGGAGACAUCUCAUUUGUAAAUUUUACUUGCGUAUAGAAAUGUAGCAGUUUACAGGAAUGAUAAGCAGACGGUGUUUUUCCCAGUGACCCUGUGUUGAGGAAGCGUGGCAUGUGGAAGGAGCAGUGGCCCUGGGGCCUGACACACCUAGGUUCUGCCUCUUGCUACCUUAUUUUCUUAGAGCAGUUUUAGGUUUGCAACAAAAUUGCGAAGGUGGUACAGAGAUUUCCGCCAUGUUCCUGUCCCCGCACGUGCACAGCCUCUUUCAUCAUCAGCGCUCCCCAGCAGAGUGGGACAUUGCUACAGUUGGUGACUGUCUACUGACAUAUCACUGUCACCCAUCAUCACAGUCCACCAUUUACAUGAGGACUCACUCUUGGGGUCGUGCAUUCUGGGAGUCUAGACAAAUGUGUAUGACGCGUGUCUACCGUUGUAACAUACAGAGCGUUCUCACUGCCCGCAAAACCAUCUGUUCUCUGCCUGUUCAUCCCUCUCCACAAACACUGAUCUUUUUUAUUGUCUUCAUAGUUGUAGCUCUUUCAGAAUGUCUUGUGAAAGUCGGAAUUACACAGUAUGAGGCCUUUCAGAUUGGCUUCUUUGACUUAGUGCUCCAGUAAGAGUCUUCAUGACUUCUCAGAGUUUGACAGCUCAUUGCUUUUUUAGGGCUGAAUAGUAUUCCAGUGUCUGGAUGGACCAGAGACUUGUUUUCCAAAAUUGCUUUCUCUAACAGUAUCUUUGCACCAUGGUCAUUCUGCACAUGUCCCCAGUGUCUCUACAGGAUACAGUAGAGCUUUAGUAAUUCUUUGCAUUUCAGGAUGCUUACAUCUACCGUAUAGACGAGACCAUAAAGAAAUGUCCGAAACGUCAGCCUAAACUUCACAUGUGCGACACUUUCCUUCAAACGCAGCCUCCUGUGGGGCUGCAGUCCGAUUCCAGAGAGCAAAGUUUACCAGUUACCAAGAGAUCCAUUGAUUGAUUGAUUGUAAUCUCUGUGCCCAGUGUGGGACUUGAACUUAUGACUCAAGAUUAAGAGUCUCAUGCUCUACUGAGUAAGCCAGUGAGGCACCCCAUGAAGAGAUUCUUUUGGUGCCUUGUAAUCUACUUCCCCUCUGUCCCCAAAUGUCAUUACCAAGAGGUGUCACUGGCAGAUCUCAUGUGACAAAGAGCCCUGGGGCAGUUGGUAGGGGCAGUUGGUAGGCGCAGCAGUCCCCGAGGAUGAGGGUCUGCCUUCGGAAGAGCUGCUGAAUUGAGAACCUACUCACCACAGGCACAUAAAGGGUCUCUAGUUCCUGAUGCAUGACCUAUGCUUAAGAAGUAGUAGUAGUAUUUAGCUUUAUGUAUUUUCUUACAAAGUUAAUUAUUUGCCAGUUUUUCUUUCUGCAUUCCCUUUCUUUAUUAAAAAGAGCAAUGACUUUUGAGUGUGUUUAGGAUGUUAAUAAAUGAUUUUUUUAAAAUUGGUGGACUUAAAAUAACAUUGCUACACAGACCGUGUAUUUUGUAAAACACUUGGGGAGAGAUUGGGUUGCCGAAGCUUGGCAGAGAGAAACGUGUUCCAGGUAUUCCUGACUAAUGUCAGUAUUUUUGCCUAAAAUGACCUCAGUCAAAUUUAGCAGUGACAGACAAGGGUCUGGUCAAAACAUCGGUGUGCCACAGUCAGUCCAGCACUGUUAAGUAGUAAUUCCCUGGCUCUUUUGUUUUGAGAGCCUCAGUCUUAGCAGGAAGUGUUGUGCUCUCUGUGCCACUUACUUUUCUAGAACCAUCAGAUUAAAAAAAAGAAAAAAUGAAAACCAAACAAAGCCUAUUGGGUGAGUGUUUGAGUCUCUGAAGGAACGAGCUCGGUGAGCAGCUAGUCCUUGUUGACUCCGUGAAGGAAGCUGUGUGCUGAGCCCCUGCUUGGAGGCUGAUGGGAAAUGUAUGUCCAGAUGCCACUUUCCAGGCGGUACCAGCGGGUGGGACGGAAGAGAGCCGCACCAGGGGCCCUGCAUCCCGAGCCUCUUGGUGUCUUCCUGCAAACCACCUGUAGGAAAUACAGGGCCUGCUUCCUGCGCGGAGUUGACUGCCUCACAGGAGUGAGGCAUGCUGGCCUGGCGACAGGGAAAGGGAGGCCUCCUUUUGCUCAGGCUUUCUUAGUCCGUGGUUUUGUGGACCUACAUUCACUCCUUCACUUGGACACUGGCACAGAUCCGGAAAACAUAAAAAGAAAGCUAACUUUCAGAUAUCCCCUUUCCCACUCUUACCGGCCUCUGGUCUGCUGCAUAUCCCUUCUGAGGCAGAGGUGAAGUGCUUUUGGCCCCGGGGCAGCAGGCGUUGUGCUGUGGGUCGUGAGCCCUGGCCACCCCGAGAAAUCCGCCUGCUCCCAGCCCAACAAGGCCCGUUGGUUUCUGCGAGCUGCCAGGAAAGGCUGUUUGAGGAGUGGACAGACCUUUUCUUCAGGGUUAACUGAGUACAACUGAAAACAGGCCCCAUGCUGGGAAGAAGCCUCAUGGGUGGACGGAAGCCAGGCAAAAGCAAAAAUAGGAGGUGGAUUGCAGUUUGACAACAAGGACCCAACCGUGCACUUGACAUUUUUCACAUGACCACGACGAGCCUUACUUUUACAAGAGAUACUUGUCUUCGUGUUUGGUUCAUGGCCUAAUUUUUCAUUCUUCUAGAAGCUCACAAAAUGAUGACUUUGUCAGAUGCAGAUAAAGAUCUCUACGCUUUCUGGGUAAGGAUAGGAAAA
Mirounga angustirostris (Northern elephant seal) is the source of this 9132-nucleotide long non-coding RNA. RefSeq lists it as uncharacterized. The transcript is spliced from 2 exons. Lineage: Eukaryota; Metazoa; Chordata; Mammalia; Carnivora; Phocidae. The record is from RefSeq and is a predicted model, not a curated record.